Molecule: ribosomal RNA, 460 nt
Filed under: uncultured bacterium
Lineage: Bacteria
Description: partial 16S ribosomal RNA
Rfam family: Bacterial small subunit ribosomal RNA
Source: RNAcentral
CCUACGGGAGGCAGCAGUGAGGAAUAUUGGUCAAUGGACGAGAGUCUGAACCAGCCAAGUAGCGUGAAGGAUGACUGCCCUGUGGGUUGUAAACUUCUUUUAUCAAGGAAUAAAACGUGGCACGUGUGCCUGUUUGCAUGUACUUUAUGAAUAAGGAUCGGCUAACUCCGUGCCAGCAGCCGCGGUAAUACGGAGGAUCCGAGCGUUAUCCGGAUUUAUUGGGUUUAAAGGGAGCGUAGGUGGGUUGUUAAGUCAGUUGUGAAAGUUUGCGGCUCAACCGUAAAAUUGCAAUUGAUACUGGCAGUCUUGAGUACAGGUGAGGUAGGCGGAAUUCGUGGUGUAGCGGUGAAAUGCUUAGAUAUCGCGAAGAACCCCGAUUGCGAAGGCAGCUUACUAACCUGUGACUGACAUUGAGGCUCGAAAGUGUGGGUAUCGAACAGGAUUAGAUACCCCAGUAGUC